Molecule: long non-coding RNA, 1173 nt
Filed under: Prunus persica (peach)
Lineage: Eukaryota; Viridiplantae; Streptophyta; Magnoliopsida; Rosales; Rosaceae
Description: long non-coding RNA (PPER_LNC007403)
Source: RNAcentral
CCUGGAUGUGAUUGAAUAUUCGAAAAUGAUUUGAUUGACCUGAGAAGUCUUUCUGUGAUCAAAUGGUGCCAAGGGGCGGCUCUCAAACCCAAACCCUAGCCUCCUUCAACACUGCAACAAAGGGUUACCUCCUCUCCCCCGCCUCUCUUCUCCUCUUCUCCCUUACCCCUCUUCUUUUAUCCUCUUCCCUUUCAACCCUUCUCUCUUAUCUAGUGCUUGGGUUGGCUUUGUUUGAGCGUGAGUUGUUUGGUGUUGAAUAAGCGCAUCAACUCUUUUGAGUUUGAUGCGUGUUUGUGGUUUUUUUUGUGGUUUUCAUUGUGGGUGUUAUACUUGGUUUUUCAAGACAAACGUUUAUGCUGGAUUGUUGUGUGACUUUGAGUGGCGAUAAACUACAUGAGUUUGAUGUUGUCGGUGGAUUUCUCCAUAUUAAUUAUAACUCCUUUGUAGAUAAUUAUAGUGCCCUUUGUAAUUAUUGUAUUUGUCUUAUGAUUGGGGCGUAAUUUAUAAAUGCAAUCUCCUUAUCUUUUGUGGGUUUGUUGAAUGAUAUUUCUUGAUUGCUUAAUAGAAGCACUAAAACAAAGGAUAAUAAUCUGGUUUACAUGAUGCAGGUAGCUAAUAGAAAGUAAGCUUAAAAAGCUCAUGAGCUGCCCUGUGGGCCUAUGCCCAAAUUUGUCCAUUUCAGGCCAUAUUACCAUACACAGAUAUAGGCAUGAGGAAAAUCAUACUAUUGAAGAAGUUGUUCCAAUGACACAACAUAUUUAGAAAGCAUGUGUGUGAAUGUGAGGAGAGGGAGGAGUAAGCUUUUGAGUAAUUUCCCCAACUGAUGAACCAUGCUUCGUCACAAAUAGAGCAAGUUCAACUGAAACUGAAUCAUGAAGAUCUAUGUUUUUAUUUUUUCCUAAAUUGAGUUUAGGCAUGAUGUACUAUUAACAUUCUUGGAGAGGGUUUUGUUUGCCAUGGGUGACCUUACUUUUCUUGAUGAAGUUGUUGUUCAAAUACAAAUAUCUAAGCAGACCUUACCUUACCACAAUUAUUUAAAGAGCUCCAUAACAUGCCAUGUUUCUUCUCUGUAUAUUUAAAUUCAAAACCAAAAAGUUCAUGGAUAUUCAUGUGAUCAACAUUCCUGAAAUUAAGGAACCAUCAAUUUCUUAUUAAAUUUCUUUUUGUCCUGUG